RNAcentral lists this ribosomal RNA (374 nucleotides) under uncultured organism. Its description in RNAcentral is "partial 16S ribosomal RNA". It matches the Rfam family "Bacterial small subunit ribosomal RNA", at positions 527 to 896 of the family's 1533-position model. The record is from RNAcentral.
GUAGGUGGCAAGCGUUGUCCGGAAUUAUUGGGGCGUAAAGCGCGCGCAGGCGGUUCUUUAAGUCUGAUGUGAAAGCCCACGGGCUCAACCGUGGAGGGUCAUUGGAAACUGGAGAACUUGAGUACAGAAGAGGAAAGCGGAAUUCCACGUGUAGCGGUGAAAUGCGUAGAGAUGUGGAGGAACACCAGUGGCGAAGGCGGCUUUCUGGUCUGUAACUGACGCUGAGGCGCGAAAGCGUGGGGAGCAAACAGGAUUAGAUACCCUGGUAGUCCACGCCGUAAACGAUGAGUGCUAAGUGUCAGGGGGUUUCCGCCCCUUAGUGCUGCAGCUAACGCAUUAAGCACUCCGCCUGGGGAGUACGGCCGCAAAGGCUG